This 1447-nucleotide ribosomal RNA is filed under the name Streptococcus thermophilus. RNAcentral describes it as "bacterial SSU rRNA". It matches the Rfam family "Bacterial small subunit ribosomal RNA". The record is from RNAcentral. Lineage: Bacteria; Bacillati; Bacillota; Bacilli; Lactobacillales; Streptococcaceae.
CGGGGGGGUGCUAUACAUGCAAGUAGAACGCUGAAGAGAGGAGCUUGCUCUUCUUGGAUGAGUUGCGAACGGGUGAGUAACGCGUAGGUAACCUGCCUUGUAGCGGGGGAUAACUAUUGGAAACGAUAGCUAAUACCGCAUAACAAUGGAUGACACAUGUCAUUUAUUUGAAAGGGGCAAUUGCUCCACUACAAGAUGGACCUGCGUUGUAUUAGCUAGUAGGUGAGGUAAUGGCUCACCUAGGCGACGAUACAUAGCCGACCUGAGAGGGUGAUCGGCCACACUGGGACUGAGACACGGCCCAGACUCCUACGGGAGGCAGCAGUAGGGAAUCUUCGGCAAUGGGGGCAACCCUGACCGAGCAACGCCGCGUGAGUGAAGAAGGUUUUCGGAUCGUAAAGCUCUGUUGUAAGUCAAGAACGGGUGUGAGAGUGGAAAGUUCACACUGUGACGGUAGCUUACCAGAAAGGGACGGCUAACUACGUGCCAGCAGCCGCGGUAAUACGUAGGUCCCGAGCGUUGUCCGGAUUUAUUGGGCGUAAAGCGAGCGCAGGCGGUUUGAUAAGUCUGAAGUUAAAGGCUGUGGCUCAACCAUAGUUCGCUUUGGAAACUGUCAAACUUGAGUGCAGAAGGGGAGAGUGGAAUUCCAUGUGUAGCGGUGAAAUGCGUAGAUAUAUGGAGGAACACCGGUGGCGAAAGCGGCUCUCUGGUCUGUAACUGACGCUGAGGCUCGAAAGCGUGGGGAGCGAACAGGAUUAGAUACCCUGGUAGUCCACGCCGUAAACGAUGAGUGCUAGGUGUUGGAUCCUUUCCGGGAUUCAGUGCCGCAGCUAACGCAUUAAGCACUCCGCCUGGGGAGUACGACCGCAAGGUUGAAACUCAAAGGAAUUGACGGGGGCCCGCACAAGCGGUGGAGCAUGUGGUUUAAUUCGAAGCAACGCGAAGAACCUUACCAGGUCUUGACAUCCCGAUGCUAUUUCUAGAGAUAGAAAGUUACUUCGGUACAUCGGUGACAGGUGGUGCAUGGUUGUCGUCAGCUCGUGUCGUGAGAUGUUGGGUUAAGUCCCGCAACGAGCGCAACCCCUAUUGUUAGUUGCCAUCAUUCAGUUGGGCACUCUAGCGAGACUGCCGGUAAUAAACCGGAGGAAGGUGGGGAUGACGUCAAAUCAUCAUGCCCCUUAUGACCUGGGCUACACACGUGCUACAAUGGUUGGUACAACGAGUUGCGAGUCGGUGACGGCGAGCUAAUCUCUUAAAGCCAAUCUCAGUUCGGAUUGUAGGCUGCAACUCGCCUACAUGAAGUCGGAAUCGCUAGUAAUCGCGGAUCAGCACGCCGCGGUGAAUACGUUCCCGGGCCUUGUACACACCGCCCGUCACACCACGAGAGUUUGUAACACCCGAAGUCGGUGAGGUAACCUUUUGGAGCCAGCCGCUAAGGUGACAGAUU